GAUGAACGCUGGCGGCGUGCCUAACACAUGCAAGUCGAGCGAAGCACACAUGCGGAGGCCUCCGGGCCAAAGGAUGUGUGACUGAGCGGCGGACGGGUGAGUAACGCGUGGGUAACCUGCCCUAUACAGGGGGAUAACAGCUAGAAAUGGCUGCUAAUACCGCAUGAGCGCACAGCUCCGCAUGGAGCGGUGUGAAAAACUCCGGUGGUAUAGGAUGGACCCGCGUCCGAUUAGCUAGUUGGUGGGGUAAAGGCCCACCAAGGCGACGAUCGGUAGCCGACCUGAGAGGGUGACCGGCCACAUUGGGACUGAGACACGGCCCAA
Molecule: ribosomal RNA, 324 nt
Filed under: uncultured bacterium
Lineage: Bacteria
Description: bacterial SSU rRNA
Rfam family: Bacterial small subunit ribosomal RNA
Source: RNAcentral